RNAcentral lists this ribosomal RNA (463 nucleotides) under uncultured bacterium. Its description in RNAcentral is "partial 16S ribosomal RNA". It matches the Rfam family "Bacterial small subunit ribosomal RNA", at positions 28 to 507 of the family's 1533-position model. The record is from RNAcentral.
GAUGAAUGCUGACAGAAUGCUUAACACAUGCAAGUCUUUGGCGAAUCUGUGCUUGCACAGGCUAGCCAAGGCGGACGGGUGAGUAACGCGUAAAGAACUUGCCCUGCAGACAGGGAUAACAGACGGAAACGACUGAUAACACCUGAUACAGUUGCCGGCACGCAUGUGCCUGGCAAUGAAAAGAGAUGCUGCAGGAGAGCUUUGCGUCCUAUUAGCUUGUUGGUGAGGUGACGGCUCACCAAGGCGAUGAUAGGUAGCCGGCCUGAGAGGGUGAACGGCCACAAGGGGACUGAGAUACGGCCCUUACUCCUACGGGAGGCAGCAGUGGGGAAUAUUGGACAAUGGGGGCAACCCUGAUCCAGCAAUUCUGUGUGCACGAAGAAGGUUUUCGGAGUGUAAAGUGCUUUCAGCAGGGAAGAAGAAAGUGACGGUACCUGCAGAAGAAGCGACGGCUAAAUACGUG